GACGAACGCUGGCGGCGUGCUUAACACAUGCAAGUCGAACGGAAAGGCCCUGCUUGCAGGGUACUCGAGUGGCGAACGGGUGAGUAACACGUGGGUGAUCUGCCCUGCACUUCGGGAUAAGCCUGGGAAACUGGGUCUAAUACCGGAUAGGAGCCAUUUUUAGUGUUAUGGUUGGAAAGUUUUUUCGGUGUAGGAUGAGCUCGCGGCCUAUCAGCUUGUUGGUGGGGUAAUGGCCUACCAAGGCGGCGACGGGUAGCCGGCCUGAGAGGGUGGACGGCCACAUUGGGACUGAGAUACGGCCCAGACUCCUACGGGAGGCAGCAGUGGGGAAUAUUGCACAAUGGGCGCAAGCCUGAUGCAGCGACGCCGCGGGGGGGAUGACGGCCUUCGGGUUGUAAACUCCUUUCGCUAGGGACGAAGCUUUUUGUGACGGUACCUAGAGAAGAAGCACCGGCUAACUACGUG
RNAcentral lists this ribosomal RNA (465 nucleotides) under uncultured bacterium. Its description in RNAcentral is "partial 16S ribosomal RNA". It matches the Rfam family "Bacterial small subunit ribosomal RNA", at positions 28 to 507 of the family's 1533-position model. The record is from RNAcentral.